GCGAGGGGCAAGGAAGGAAGUUUGCAGAGGGCAAGAGAAAAUGAAUUCAGCACUCAAGAAUGAUUGGGACAGAGGGACUGUGUGGGGCCCGAGAUCCUGCACCCUCGACUCAACACUGCCAAACCCUUUCAUGCCUCAUUUGCCACCAAGAUGGCACUACCCACAAUGCACCAGGCAUGCCAGUUCAUAGACCACUGAAGUCACUGCAAUGUACAAAAGAUGGGGGUACCCCACCAAAUUCCUAGUAUCAAGAGAGGGGAAAACCACCAUCAUUGGGACCCCAGAGGAAGGAAACCGCAUACUGAGCUCUUGGGACAUCGCACCAUUUGAGCAACCCAGCUCGGAGAGGAGCAAGACCAGAUAUGCGAAGCAGACAAGGGCACAAUGUACCAAAUAUGGUGGACCUGCCUGAACAUUAGGGGAUACUGGAGGGAAGUAGAAUAGAUUGUCACGGGGGCCUUACACGUCAAGACCAAACUGCAGCCAGAAUGUGGAUUAUUGUUUAUGACACUUGAUUCUUACACAAAACCCCAAGCUGUCUUACUGUACCAAAUAUUGAUAGCUGCUAACCUUAGGAUUGCCAGGCAUUGGAAACAGGCUCAAACACCUGAGAACACUAGUUUGAUACAACAAAUCGGGUCGCAAGAGUAUUCUGAGAAAGGACAGCAACUGAAGUAGCCUGCCCUUCGGUGGGACCCCGCUCAGAACCCAAGCUGGUUUUAGCUCAUCUUGUGCCAUUACAGAGAGAACAUCUCUGAAACAUAUCAGACUGGUCCCACCCAUA
Long non-coding RNA from Pelobates fuscus (common spadefoot toad), 784 nucleotides. RefSeq lists it as uncharacterized. Lineage: Eukaryota; Metazoa; Chordata; Amphibia; Anura; Pelobatidae. The transcript is spliced from 4 exons. The record is from RefSeq and is a predicted model, not a curated record.